CAUCAUGCUCAGCUAAUUUUUUGUAUUUUUAGUAGAGACGAGGUUUCACCGUGUUAGCCAGGAUGGUGUCGAUAUCCUGACCUCCUGAUCCACCCGCCAUGGCUUCCCAAAGUGCUGGGAUUACAGGCAUGAGCCACCACGCCCGGCCAAUAUAUUGGUUUCUUUAUGAAAAUUAUACUGGAUCUGUUACAGCUUUUGUCUGGUCCUCUGAGCCCCAGUGAGAGUUUCCUGAGGUACCUCACCCUUCCACAAGACAACAGGCUUGCCAUUGAUCUGCAACAAACGGCGGUUGUUGUCAUGGCCCAUUUAGACCGUCUGGCUACACCCUGUAGAUGCCUCCUCUGUGUAGCUCUCCGACGUCUCAUAAGAGUCAUUUUUUACAGGUCAGAACUGUAGAAAUAAUGAGAAAGUGACACUUGUACGCAUAGCUGAUUUGGAGAACCAUAAUAACGAUGGAGGCUUCUGGACUGUGAUUGACGGGAAAGUGUAUGAUAUAAAGGACUUCCAGACACAGUCGUUAACAGAAAAUAGUAUUCUUGCUCAGUUUGCAGGGGAAGACCCAGUGGUAGCUUUGGAAG
RNAcentral lists this long non-coding RNA (578 nucleotides) under Homo sapiens (human). Its description in RNAcentral is "non-protein coding lnc-GOLGA6L6-6:3". Lineage: Eukaryota; Metazoa; Chordata; Mammalia; Primates; Hominidae. The record is from RNAcentral.